Molecule: ribosomal RNA, 490 nt
Filed under: uncultured bacterium
Lineage: Bacteria
Description: partial 16S ribosomal RNA
Rfam family: Bacterial small subunit ribosomal RNA
Source: RNAcentral
AUUGAACGCUGGCGGCAGGCCUAACACAUGCAAGUCGAACGGUAACAGGAAGCAGCUUGCUGCUUUGCUGACGAGUGGCGGACGGGUGAGUAAUGUCUGGGAAACUGCCCGAUGGAGGGGGAUAACUACUGGAAACGGUAGCUAAUACCGCAUAACGUCGCAAGACCAAAGAGGGGGACCUUAGGGCCUCUUGCCAUCGGAUGUGCCCAGAUGGGAUUAGCUAGUAGGUGGGGUAACGGCUCACCUAGGCGACGAUCUCUAGCUGGUCUGAGAGGAUGACCAGCCACACUGGAACUGAGACACGGUCCAGACUCCUACGGGAGGCAGCAGUGGGGAAUAUUGCACAAUGGGCGCAAGCCUGAUGCAGCCAUGCCGCGUGUAUGAAGAAGGCCUUCGGGUUGUAAAGUACUUUCAGCGGGGAGGAAGGGAGUAAAGUUAAUACCUUUGCUGAUUGACGUUACCCGCAGAAGAAGCACCGGCUAACUCCGUG